Choloepus didactylus (southern two-toed sloth) is the source of this 513-nucleotide long non-coding RNA. RefSeq lists it as uncharacterized. NCBI's taxonomy places the organism in Eukaryota, Metazoa, Chordata, Mammalia, Pilosa, Megalonychidae. The record is from RefSeq and is a predicted model, not a curated record. The transcript has 4 exons.
AGAUAGUCUGAGGAACAACUUCAAGUCCGGGGAUCUGUUCUUUUUCCUUCCUUUUCCAUUUUGGAUGGAUGUAGACUACACUCUUGGUCUUUUCCCAACCUAAGUGCAUUGGUAGGACUCUGUUUACCAAUGACAGAAGAAGGCCAGAACCUUUGGGAAUCCAGUGCUAUUGGAAGUAAAGGAUGCCCUCACCCACUCAUGCAUGAUGAUGUACCUCUAUGGGAACGACCCUUGCUCUCGUCAUGCCUGAUUCUUUGCUAAGUGAAGAAGCCAUUCAAAAGUCUCCAAUUCAGCUCCCUGGCAUUUAGUAAACCACAAGCUGCUGUUCCUUUUCUUGAAGAAGUCAGUUUGGUGGAGGGGCCAAGAAAAAUUAGCCCAACUGAUGAUUGCAAUCUCGAAAGAAAAUAUGCUUUUUAUCAGAGACCACAUGUUGCCAAUGCCAAUUAAAGAAAAACUGGGAGAUUUAAUCAGAUACCAGCUUGGGGAGGAAAAAUGAUGAGCCAGGUAUAAAAA